GAGAGGAUACAAAGGCUCCUCUGCCUAGAGAAAGUGACUGAAACAGCUGCCCUACAAUUCCUCCUCCUCUACAGCUUCUUGUGAGAAAGGCUCAUAUGGCUUCUCAGUUCCAAACUGCAACCACUCACAUUUAUGGAGCUGCUGACUGAGAGACCAUCUGCUUCUCUUGCUUGCUUCAAUAAAGACAUCUCUGAUGGCAGCAUCAUCGCUGAUUGCCAGAGUGAAAACCCAAUCAGCUGACACACAGCUCUCAUUUGGAAAUAUGCCCAGUGGAGGCACAAGAGGGAAGUUCACUCCAUUCUCGCAGGCCAGCUUCAUUCCUGUGCGUGUGCAUUAAACAAGGCAGCCAGAAGCCUUAACCUCCCAACCCUGGUGUUACAUGCCACAGCCAUCGUGAUUCAAAAGGAGCAAAGGACCUCCGCAUGAUACAGCCACUUCUGCGGAGAAGCUGGCUUUUAACUUUCGGCCAGCCCUGAUGGACAUGGCUCACGGGGAACGUACGCCGGCAGUCCACCUGCAAACACCCCACGGCGGAGAUGGCCUCAAGCGCUCCGACGCAGGUGCCCCCAGGGACCCUGCCCCACGCUCCUCCCGGGAGAGUUCAGCCAAGCGAGCUGUCCUGUUGCACACCCCCGGGUGAGCUCGCCUUUUAUGAAGGUCAGAGCAGUGUCUCAGGGCUCACCCUGACUUCAGAGUCGGUCCUGGGCUCGUGCUAUUUGCGGAUGAGUACUGCAGCCCCGCAUCAGGCAAGCCCAGGAGAAACCAUGCUUCCACAAGAGACGUGGCCCUGGAGCCAUGUCCUAGAAGUGUCCACGGUGCCAGCAGGCUGCUCGUCAGCCGACCUGUCUCAGCAUGCAAAGCGUGCAUCUCCCUGCGAGCCACGCUCCUCUCUGCCCCUCGCAUCCCACAUCGCCACUCUCCUGUGCUGCAGGAGAUGUUCCUGGUGUUCUGACAUUUUAUAUUUAUGUGUUAAACUCUACUCCUGUUUUUUCCACCUCUUCUUUCUUCUGCCUCCCUCAGCAGCUAGCGGUUAAAAGUUUGUCCAUUUGUUGAUCUUUUCCUGCAUUUUGUGGAAAAUUCCCUUUGUACAUUACUAGCUCUUUUAUUGACAAAACUAUGUUUUCAAGAAAAAUAAAAGACCUCUUACUUUUGCCA
Molecule: long non-coding RNA, 1155 nt
Filed under: Apteryx owenii (little spotted kiwi)
Lineage: Eukaryota; Metazoa; Chordata; Aves; Apterygiformes; Apterygidae
Description: lncRNA (ENSAOWG00000009867.1)
Source: RNAcentral